This 1306-nucleotide long non-coding RNA is filed under the name Brassica napus (rape). Its description in RNAcentral is "long non-coding RNA (BNAP_LNC010188)". Lineage: Eukaryota; Viridiplantae; Streptophyta; Magnoliopsida; Brassicales; Brassicaceae. The record is from RNAcentral.
AACCUGCUCGCCAUGGUGACGAAGGUGAAAGGGAAACUUAUUAUGUUAAUGUCCCCAAGAAAGUCAUACCUCACUAGACGGAACUGUAUAAGUCCCUUUUAAGAGGUUUUGUAUUUUUACCCUACGAUGAAUAAAGAAUAAACUUUUCUUGCAGAGCAGAUAAAACCCUAAACCUUUCUCGUGUGUGUGUGUUAAGCAGUCGUGAGAGAAACUCUUUUCUUAUCAAUUCAUUCCAUUGAAUUUGUGGCGACCAUGUUUCCAUCUUUCACCCAUCUAUCUAGCUUGAGAGAGAUACACAUCCAUCAAGCUUGAUUCCAUCUCGUUCAUCAUUCCAUCCACUAAUCCAUUUGAGAGAGAUACACGUCCAACAACUUGAUCCCAUCUCCAUCAAUCUAUCCUUCAGUUUCCAUUCUCCAUCUCUAUCUACCACCAUCCAUAUUCCGACCACCGAUCCAUCUCCAAUUUCAUCAGAUGAUCCGUCAUCAUCCUUCUCUAUUUACGUUAAUUUAUUCUCUGUUUUCAUCAGCAUAAUCUCAUAUUGUUUUGUUUCUUUGUUUCAGGUACAGAGCAAUCAUUCUCUCACCCAUAUCCGUUUGACCAUAGCUCUUGUCGAACCAAAUUUGAACCUCUGUCGACCCGAUUGUAUAGUCCUGAUUUUGGGCUGUAUCAUAACUGAUCAGCUUCUAAAGUAAUGAUGGAUAUAUGGAUCGUAAAACUAUAGUCUCCGUUGUGAAUAUACAAAUGUAACACCAGGUGUAUAUGUUUUCAUUCCACGAUCAACAAAAUUGUCGUACCAAUCACAAUAAAAGACAAUUCACCUCAAUUCAUUCCUGGGUAUUGGAUUUCAAAAUUUUCACUUAGAACACCGUAGUACACAUUGUCACCAGAUGUGGGAAAAACACCAAAAUCAGAAGUUUUCCUUGGACGGCUUUCUUUGAACAUAUCCUCGAGUGUAAAAUCUCGGAUUUGACUUCACUACAUAGUUUGGUUCACACACAAACUCAUGUAACCAAUUUGGAAAUAUUCCACCUCUAAUCGAACAUGUUGUUGCCUAUAAACAAUAAGUGUUUUAUAGUUAAAGACAAUGUAGAAUAUUAGUUUUAUAAAUAUUUUACUCACCCUACAUAAUCACAAAGACAUCCCGAAAUUCUUUUUACUUCACAAGUUCAAGACGAUUUUCGGUGGCAUCUCUGUAAGUAAAGUGCAUGUGUCAUGUAAAUCGUCUAUGAACAGUAAAUAUGUUGCACAACUGGUAAAUAUAACUUAAUUAGUUAUAUUUUUAAAAAAUACAUUUGUAUGUACCUCU